RNAcentral lists this ribosomal RNA (252 nucleotides) under uncultured bacterium. RNAcentral describes it as "partial 16S ribosomal RNA". It matches the Rfam family "Bacterial small subunit ribosomal RNA", at positions 524 to 776 of the family's 1533-position model. The record is from RNAcentral.
UACGUAGGUGGCGAGCGUUGUCCGGAUUUAUUGGGCGUAAAGCGAGCGCAGGUGGUUUAUUAAGUCUGGUGUAAAAGGCAGUGGCUCAACCAUUGUAUGCAUUGGAAACUGGUAGACUUGAGUGCAGGAGAGGAGAGUGGAAUUCCAUGUGUAGCGGUGAAAUGCGUAGAUAUAUGGAAGAACACCAGUGGCGAAAGCGGCUCUCUGGUCUGUAACUGACGCUGAGGUUCGAAAGCGUGGGUAGCAAACAGG